RNAcentral lists this ribosomal RNA (548 nucleotides) under uncultured bacterium. RNAcentral describes it as "partial 16S ribosomal RNA". It matches the Rfam family "Bacterial small subunit ribosomal RNA", at positions 355 to 895 of the family's 1533-position model. The record is from RNAcentral.
UGGGGAAUUUUGGACAAUGGGGGAAACCCGUGAUCCAGCCAUCCCGCGUGUGCGAUGAAGGCCUUCGGGUUGUAAAGCACUUUUGGCAGGAAAGAAACGUCGCGGGUUAAUACCCCGCGAAACUGACGGUACCUGCAGAAUAAGCACCGGCUAACUACGUGCCAGCAGCCGCGGUAAUACGUAGGGUGCAAGCGUUAAUCGGAAUUACUGGGCGUAAAGCGUGCGCAGGCGGUUCGGAAAGAAAGAUGUGAAAUCCCAGAGCUUAACUUUGGAACUGCAUUUUUAACUACCGGGCUAGAGUGUGUCAGAGGGAGGUGGAAUUCCGCGUGUAGCAGUGAAAUGCGUAGAUAUGCGGAGGAACACCGAUGGCGAAGGCAGCCUCCUGGGAUAACACUGACGCUCAUGCACGAAAGCGUGGGGAGCAAACAGGAUUAGAUACCCUGGUAGUCCACGCCCUAAACGAUGUCAACUAGCUGUUGGGGCCUUCGGGCCUUGGUAGCGCAGCUAACGCGUGAAGUUGACCGCCUGGGGAGUACGGUCGCAAGAUU